AGAACUCUUCUGCUUGCAGAAGAUAGUAAAGUGGCGCACGGGUGAGUAACGCGUGGGUAAUCUACCUCCGAAUUGGGGAUAACCCCGCGAAAGCGGGGCUAAUACCGGAUAAUAUCUUUUAUGUUUCGGCAUUUAAGAUCAAAGGUGGUCUCUACAUGUAAGCUACUGUUUGGAGAUGAGCCCGCGUGCCAUUAGCUUGUUGGUAGGGUAAUGGCCUACCAAGGCUACGAUGGCUAGCUGGUCUGAGAGGAUGAUCAGCCACACUGGAACUGACACACGGUCCAGACUCCUACGGGAGGCAGCAGUGAGGAAUUUUGCGCAAUGGGGGAAACCCUGACGCAGCAACGCCGCGUGAGUGAUGGAGGCUUUCGGGUCGUAAAGCUCUGUCAAGUGGGAAGAACAUGCUCGAUGUUAAUGCCAUCGUGCACUGACGGUACCACUGAAGGAAGCACCGGCUAACUCCGUGCCAGCAGCCGCGGUAAUACGGGGGGUGCAAGCGUUAUUCGGAAUUAUUGGGCGUAAAGGGCGCGCAGGCGGUCUCUUAAGUCAGAUGUGAAAGCCCGGGGCUUAACCCCGGAAGUGCAUUUGAAACUAAGGGACUUGAGUAUGGGAGAGGGAAGUGGAAUUCCUGGUGUAGAGGUGAAAUUCGUAGAUAUCAGGAGGAACACCGGUGGCGAAGGCGACUUCCUGGACCAAUACUGACGCUGAGGCGCGAAGGCGUGGGGAGCAAACAGGAUUAGAUACCCUGGUAGUCCACGCAGUAAACGGUGAACACUAGGUGUAGCGGGUAUUUACCCCUGCUGUGCCGCAGCUAACGCAUUAAGUGUUCCGCCUGGGGAGUACGGUCGCAAGAUUAAAACUCAAAGGAAUUGACGGGGGCCCGCACAAGC
RNAcentral lists this ribosomal RNA (890 nucleotides) under uncultured bacterium. RNAcentral describes it as "bacterial SSU rRNA". It matches the Rfam family "Bacterial small subunit ribosomal RNA", at positions 69 to 930 of the family's 1533-position model. The record is from RNAcentral.